UUCUGGAAAGUAAAAAUCGUAACAAGGUUUCCGUAGGUGAACCUGCGGAAGGAUCAUUAUCGAGUUUUUGAACGGGUUGUCUGCUGACUCGCAAGAGUAUGUGCACGCCUGGCUCAUCCACACUCAACUUCUGUGCACUUUUCAUAGGCCGGCUUGUAGGUGGUGCGUUUGCGCACGCCAGGUGGUGCGUUCGCGCACGCCAGGUGGUGAGCUCGCGCACGCCUGUAGGCUUAGGCUUAUGCUUUACUACAAACGAUUCAGUUAUAGAAUGUCUUACUUUGCGAUAACGCAAUUAUAUACAACUUUCAGCAACGGAUCUCUUGGCUCUCGCAUCGAUGAAGAACGCAGCGAAAUGCGAUAAGUAAUGUGAAUUGCAGAAUUCAGUGAAUCAUCGAAUCUUUGAACGCACCUUGCGCUCCUUGGUAUUCCGAGGAGCAUGCCUGUUUGAGUCUCAUGGAAUUCUCAACCUUCAACUUUAUUGAUGAAGGCUUGGACUUGGAGGUCGUGUCGGCUCUCGUAGUCGACUCCUCUGAAAUGCAUUAGUGCGAACGUUACCAGCCGCUUCAGCGUGAUAAUUAUCUGCGUUGCUGCGGACGGUAAGUGAGUGUUCACGCUUCUAAUCGUCUUCGGACAACAUUUCUGAACUCUGAGCUCAAAUCAGGUAGGACUACCCGCUGAACUUAAGCAUAUCAAUAAGCCGGAGGAA
This 706-nucleotide ribosomal RNA is filed under the name Bjerkandera adusta. Its description in RNAcentral is "eukaryotic LSU rRNA". The stretch from base 301 to 454 matches the Rfam family "5.8S ribosomal RNA". The record is from RNAcentral. Lineage: Eukaryota; Fungi; Basidiomycota; Agaricomycetes; Polyporales; Phanerochaetaceae.